AUUGAACGCUGGCGGCAUGCUUUACACAUGCCAGUCGAACGGCAGCGGGGUAGUGCCUGCACUACUGCCGGCGAGUGGCGAACGGGUGAGUAAUAUAUCGGAACGUACCGAGUAAUGGGGGAUAACCAAUCGAAAGAUUGGCUAAUACCGCAUACGUCCUGAGGGAGAAAGCGGGGGAUCGCAAGACCUCGCGUUAUUCGAGCGGCCGAUAACUGAUUAGCUAGUUGGUGGGGUAAAGGCCUACCAAGGCGACGAUCAGUAGCGGGUCUGAGAGGACGAUCCGCCACACUGGGACUGAGACACGGCCCAGACUCCUACGGGAGGCAGCAGUGGGGAAUUUUGGACAAUGGGGGCAACCCUGAUCCAGCCAUGCCGCGUGUAUGAAGAAGGCCUUCGGGUUGUAAAGUACUUUUGUUAGGGAAGAAAAGGGAGGUGCUAAUACCACUUUUUGCUGACGGUACCUAAAGAAUAAGCACCGGCUAACUACGUG
RNAcentral lists this ribosomal RNA (490 nucleotides) under uncultured bacterium. Its description in RNAcentral is "partial 16S ribosomal RNA". It matches the Rfam family "Bacterial small subunit ribosomal RNA", at positions 30 to 507 of the family's 1533-position model. The record is from RNAcentral.